This 490-nucleotide ribosomal RNA is filed under the name uncultured bacterium. RNAcentral's name for it is "partial 16S ribosomal RNA". It matches the Rfam family "Bacterial small subunit ribosomal RNA", at positions 30 to 507 of the family's 1533-position model. The record is from RNAcentral.
AUUGAACGCUGGCGGCAGGCCUAACACAUGCAAGUCGAACGGUAACAGGAAGCAGCUUGCUGCUUUGCUGACGAGUGGCGGACGGGUGAGUAAUGUCUGGGAAACUGCCUGAUGGGGGGGGAUAACUACUGGAAACGGUAGCUAAUACCGCAUAACGUCGCAAGACCAAAGAGGGGGACCUUCGGGCCUCUUGCCAUCGGAUGUGCCCAGAUGGGAUUAGCUAGUAGGUGGGGUAACGGCUCACCUAGGCGACGAUCCCUAGCUGGUCUGAGAGGAUGACCAGCCACACUGGAACUGAGACACGGUCCAGACUCCUACGGGAGGCAGCAGUGGGGAAUAUUGCACAAUGGGCGCAAGCCUGAUGCAGCCAUGCCGCGUGUAUGAAGAAGGCCUUCGGGUUGUAAAGUACUUUCAGCGGGGAGGAAGGGAGUAAAGUUAAUACCUUGGCUCAUUGACGUUACCCGCAGAAGAAGCACCGGCUAACUCCGUG